UACGUAGGGGGCAAGCGUUGUCCGGAAUCAUUGGGCGUAGAGAGCGUGUAGGCGGCCAGAAAAGUCCGCUGUGAAAACUCGAGGCUCAACUUCGAGCUGUCGGUGGAAACUUUCUGGCUAGAGUCCGGAAGAGGAGAAUGGAAUUCCUGGUGUAGCGGUGAAAUGCGCAGAUAUCAGGAAGAACACCCGUGGCGAAGGCGGUUCUCUGGGACGGUACUGACGCUGAGACGCGAAAGCGUGGGGAGCGAACAGG
Molecule: ribosomal RNA, 253 nt
Filed under: uncultured bacterium
Lineage: Bacteria
Description: partial 16S ribosomal RNA
Rfam family: Bacterial small subunit ribosomal RNA
Source: RNAcentral